RNAcentral lists this non-coding RNA (24 nucleotides) under Arabidopsis thaliana (thale cress). Lineage: Eukaryota; Viridiplantae; Streptophyta; Magnoliopsida; Brassicales; Brassicaceae. The record is from RNAcentral.
UAAUACAAGAUGGUUACUACAUGU